RNAcentral lists this ribosomal RNA (497 nucleotides) under uncultured bacterium. RNAcentral describes it as "partial 16S ribosomal RNA". It matches the Rfam family "Bacterial small subunit ribosomal RNA", at positions 38 to 507 of the family's 1533-position model. The record is from RNAcentral.
GGGGGGGGGUGGGGGGGGGGGGGGGGCGGGGGGGGCGGGGGGACGGGGGGGGAGGUUGCGCCGCUGACGUUAGCGGCGGGCGGGUGGGGAAGGCGUGGAUAACCUACCUAUAAGCCUGGGGUGACUUCGGGAAACCGGAGCUAAUACCGGAUAAUAUAUUGAACCGCAUGGUUCAAUAGUGACAGACGGUUUUGCUGUCCCUUAUAGAUGGAUCCGCGCCGCAUUAGCUAGUUGGUAAGGUAACGGCUUACCAAGGCAACGAUGCGUAGCCGACCUGAGAGGGUGAUCGGCCACACUGGAACUGAGACACGGUCCAGACUCCUACGGGAGGCAGCAGUAGGGAAUCUUCCGCAAUGGGCGAAAGCCUGACGGAGCAACGCCGCGUGAGUGAUGAAGGUCUUCGGAUCGUAAAACUCUGUUAUUAGGGAAGAACAAAUGUGUAAGUAACUAUGCACGUCUUGACGGUACCUAAUCAGAAAGCCACGGCUAACUACGUG